GCCGGCGUAGCUCAGUGGCAGAGCAGCUGAUUCGUAAUCAGCAGGUCGCGGGUUCGACUCCCAUCGCCGGCUCCA
This 75-nucleotide transfer RNA is filed under the name Syntrophobacter sp. SbD1. Its description in RNAcentral is "tRNA-Thr". It matches the Rfam family "tRNA". From Rfam's summary of the family: Transfer RNA (tRNA) molecules are approximately 80 nucleotides in length. The record is from RNAcentral. Lineage: Bacteria; Pseudomonadati; Thermodesulfobacteriota; Syntrophobacteria; Syntrophobacterales; Syntrophobacteraceae. RNAcentral also lists the same sequence under 3 other names.